Molecule: ribosomal RNA, 494 nt
Filed under: uncultured bacterium
Lineage: Bacteria
Description: partial 16S ribosomal RNA
Source: RNAcentral
GUAGUUAGCCGUGGCUUCCUCCUUAGGUACCGUCAUUAUCGUCCCUAAAGACAGAGCUUUACAAUCCGAAAACCUUCUUCCCUCACGCGGCGUUGCUGGGUCAGGCUUGCGCCCAUUGCCCAAUAUUCCCCACUGCUGCCUCCCGUAGGAGUCUGGACCGUGUCUCAGUUCCAGUGUGGCCGAUCAGCCUCUCAGCUCGGCUACCCAUCGUCGGCUUGGUGGGCUGUUAUCUCACCAACUACCUAAUGGGACGCGAACCCCUCUAAAAGCGAUAAAUCUUUGACCUCUUCCCGAUGCCGGGUUGUGGUCUUAUGCGGUAUUAGCAGUUGUUUCCACCUGUUAUUCCCCAUCUUAGGCAGGUUGUUCACGCGUUACUCACCCGUGCGCCACUAGAAUUAUCAAUUCCAUCCGAAAACUUCCUUAAUAAUCCCCGUUCGACUUGCAUGUGUUAGGCACGCCGCCAGCGUUCGUCCUGAGCCAGGAUCAAACUCUGA